AUGGGCUUUGGAUGGUCAGCGGAGGGAGAAGCUCUUCCGGCUACUACGGCGUCGGCAGGGCUUCCUGGGGAGGAGGCGGCGGUGAGGGUGCAGUCCGUGGGAACAGGGCCGGUGGGAGGUGAGACCGGGUCGGGAGCUUGCUGUGUCCUGCUCAGAAGUUUGGGUUUUGUUCUGUGGCUGGUGCGGAGGACAGAGGGUUGUAAGCAGCGCCUUGAGUCGGUGCCUACGGAGGAGCCGCGGAGCCGCGCGGCCACCCCCACUGCUCACGCCCAACCCCGUCCCGCCCCCAGAUGGGCACGUGGAGCCGCUUCGAGAACUGCGUUGGCAGCCAGGGCCAGGCUGGCCCCGCUCACUUGGGCUGCUCCUCUCAGGGGUCCCUUGAUCCAAGGUAGUGGCAAGACGGGCGGGGUUGCAACCAGCUCAGAUGGGAUGCUGAUGGUGCCCCAGCAGAAGGCUGGUCCCGGAGCAGCUCAGGCCACAGGCCUCAGAGGGAAGGAGGGGGUGCAGGACCUGGUCCGUGCCUUGGCGAGGGGGUCGUCAUCAGUGGUGUUCGGGGAAGGACCCUUAGGUGGCCGUGUUGCCGCUCUGUUCCCGGCAGGGCUAUUGGUGGGCAGAGGGCAUAGCCUCGUCCUGGGCGGCUCUCAACGGCAAAGGCCGCCCCGUGGGUGGCGUGGAAGCCAACAGGGGAGUAAGCUGUGUGCGAGGUAUAUGCAAAGAGGAUGGAGUCAGAGAGCCCAGGAUGGGGAGGCCGGCCCGGGGGCCCUCUUUCGGUUUCCUUUUCACCAGAGCACCUCAGCGUGCGGGCUGGUGCUCGGCCCACUUCCACUCUGUUUUCCGGGUAGUGUUUCGGAGCUGCCCCUUCCUGUGCGCCUGGGCGAGCCCCUCGGCACUGCUGGGUCAGCUGCCAAAGCCGGGCCGCCAGGGCCCGUGUUUCCACAGAGGACCAGCAGCCUGUGCCUUCCCUUUCCCGUCUGUGGAAUGGGUCCAUUCUCUCUCUCCUCCAACGUAAGGAAAGAAGGCUGA
RNAcentral lists this long non-coding RNA (1023 nucleotides) under Sus scrofa (pig). RNAcentral describes it as "lncRNA (ENSSSCG00070007613.1)". Lineage: Eukaryota; Metazoa; Chordata; Mammalia; Artiodactyla; Suidae. The record is from RNAcentral.